GACGAACCGUCCAAACGUUAUUCGGAAUCACUGGGCUUACAGAGUUCGUAGGCGGUCCCAAAAGUUAGGUGUGAAAUCCCUCGGCUCAACCGAGGAACUGCGCUUAAAACUGUGGGACUCGAGGGAGAUAGAGGAAAGCGGAACUGAUGGUGGAGCGGUGAAAUGCGUUGAUAUCAUCAGGAACACCGGUGGCGAAGGCGGCUUUCUGGGUCUUGCCUGACGCUGAGGAACGAAAGCUAGGGGAGCGAACGGG
This 253-nucleotide ribosomal RNA is filed under the name uncultured bacterium. Its description in RNAcentral is "partial 16S ribosomal RNA". It matches the Rfam family "Bacterial small subunit ribosomal RNA", at positions 524 to 776 of the family's 1533-position model. The record is from RNAcentral.